RNAcentral lists this ribosomal RNA (298 nucleotides) under uncultured bacterium. Its description in RNAcentral is "partial 16S ribosomal RNA". It matches the Rfam family "Bacterial small subunit ribosomal RNA", at positions 790 to 1084 of the family's 1533-position model. The record is from RNAcentral.
GUAGUCCACGCCCUAAACGAUGUCUACUAGUUGUCGGGGAUUAAUUUCCUUGGUAACGCAGCUAACGCGGGAAGUAGACCGCCUGGGGAGUACGGUCGCAAGAUUAAAACUCAAAGGAAUUGACGGGGACCCGCACAAGCGGUGGAUGAUGUGGAUUAAUUCGAUGCAACGCGAAAAACCUUACCUACGCUUGACCAUGUCUGGAAUCCCUGUAGAGAUGCGGGAGUGCUCGAAAGAGAGCCAGAACACAGGUGCUGCAUGGCUGUCGUCAGCUCGUGUCGUGAGAUGUUGGGUUAAG